RNAcentral lists this transfer RNA (73 nucleotides) under Myxococcales bacterium. RNAcentral describes it as "tRNA-Lys". It matches the Rfam family "tRNA". Rfam says of the family: Transfer RNA (tRNA) molecules are approximately 80 nucleotides in length. Their secondary structure includes four short double-helical elements and three loops (D, anti-codon, and T loops). The record is from RNAcentral. Lineage: Bacteria; Pseudomonadati; Myxococcota; Myxococcia; Myxococcales. RNAcentral also lists the same sequence under 2 other names.
GGGUCGUUAGCUCAGUCGGUAGAGCAGCGGACUUUUAAUCCGACGGUCGAGGGUUCAAGCCCCUCACGACCCA